GUGAAUGAAGGACAGUUUGUAGAGGAUCUCCAGGUUUCUGGUGUCUCUGAUCAGCUCCAGCUCCACAAACACCAUGUUCCUCACGUCUUUACUGCUGCUGCUGAUUGCAGGAUGUGUCCACUCUCAGAUUGUUCUCACACAGUCUGAGAGGUCAGUAACAGUGACUCCAGGUGGAUCCCAGAAACUGACCUGUGCCUGCAGCGGAUUUACUCUUGGUGACUAUUGGAUGCAGUGGGUCCGACAGGCUCCUGGGAAAGGACUGGAAUGGAUUAUUGCUUAUCAUUCUGAGAGUCACAAAAGCUCAGCUCAGUCAGUUCAGGGCAGAUUCACAGCAUCCAAGGACAGCUCUAAUCUCUACCUGCACAUGAGUCAACUGAAGCCUGAAGACACUGCAGUGUAUUACUGUGCCAGAGACUCACUGUGGUGGAACUCAUACAGACAGCUGUACAAAAACUAG
This is a non-coding RNA of Colossoma macropomum (tambaqui), 457 nucleotides long. The record is from the annotation of a RefSeq genome assembly. Lineage: Eukaryota; Metazoa; Chordata; Actinopteri; Characiformes; Serrasalmidae.